AGCAGCCGCGGUAAUUCCAGCUCCAAUAGCGUAUAUUAAAGUUGUUGCAGUUAAGAAGCUCGUAGUUGAAUUUCGGGAUCAAUAUAUCGGUCGUGCCUUGGUACUUACUGGUAUCAUUGGUUUCUCCUUUCUGACGAACCAUGAUGUCAUUAAUUUGGUGUUAUGGGAAGUUAGGACUGUUACUUUGAAAAAUUAGAGUGUUUAAAGCAGGCUUUAGCUUGAAUACAUUAGCAUGGAAUAAUGAAAUAGGACGUUCGAACCUAUUUUGUUGGUUUCUAGGAUCAACGUAAUGAUUAAUAGGGAUAGUUGGGGGCAUUAGUAUUCAAUUGUCAGAGGUGAAAUUCUUGGAUUUAUUGAAGACUAACUACUGCGAAAGCAUUUGCCAAGGAUGUUUUCAUUAAUCAAGAACGAAAGUUAGGGGAUCGAAGACGAUCAGAUACCGUCGUAGUCUUAACCAUAAACUAUGCCGACUAGGGAUCGGAUGAUGUUAAUUUUUUAAUGUACUCA
Molecule: ribosomal RNA, 507 nt
Filed under: uncultured Glomeraceae
Lineage: Eukaryota; Fungi; Glomeromycota; Glomeromycetes; Glomerales; Glomeraceae
Description: SSU rRNA
Rfam family: Eukaryotic small subunit ribosomal RNA
Source: RNAcentral